GCCGGUUUAGCUUUGUGGUAGAGCGUCAGUCUUGUAAACUGAAGGUCGGCAGUUUGAUUCUGCCAUUCGGCU
RNAcentral lists this transfer RNA (72 nucleotides) under Perkinsus chesapeaki. It matches the Rfam family "tRNA". Rfam says of the family: Transfer RNA (tRNA) molecules are approximately 80 nucleotides in length. Lineage: Eukaryota; Perkinsozoa; Perkinsida; Perkinsidae. The record is from Rfam by way of RNAcentral.